Molecule: signal recognition particle RNA, 97 nt
Filed under: Entomomonas moraniae
Lineage: Bacteria; Pseudomonadati; Pseudomonadota; Gammaproteobacteria; Pseudomonadales; Pseudomonadaceae
Description: signal recognition particle sRNA small type
Rfam family: Bacterial small signal recognition particle RNA
About the family: The signal recognition particle (SRP) is a universally conserved ribonucleoprotein involved in the co-translational targeting of proteins to membranes. Archaeal SRP consists of a 7S RNA and homologues of the eukaryotic SRP19 and SRP54 proteins.
Source: RNAcentral
UAUUGGUCCCUUCGCAAUAAUUAACUAUCAAUCUGGUCAGGUCCGGAAGGAAGCAGCCAUAGUAGUGACAUUAUGUGCCGAGGUGCGGCUAAUAGAG